This 305-nucleotide ribosomal RNA is filed under the name uncultured bacterium. RNAcentral describes it as "bacterial SSU rRNA". It matches the Rfam family "Bacterial small subunit ribosomal RNA", at positions 333 to 635 of the family's 1533-position model. The record is from RNAcentral.
UGGCACCUACGGGACGCAGCAGUGAGGAAUAUUGGUCAAUGGGCGUAAGCCUGAACCAGCCACGUCGCGUGAGGGAUGAAGGUUCUAUGGAUCGUAAACCUCUUUUAUAAGGGAAUAAAGUGUGGGACGUGUCCUGUUUUGUAUGUACCUUAUGAAUAAGGAUCGGCUAACUCCGUGCCAGCAGCCGCGGUAAUACGGAGGAUCCGAGCGUUAUCCGGAUUUAUUGGGUUUAAAGGGUGCGUAGGCGGCCUUUUAAGUCAGCGGUGAAAGUCUGUGGCUCAACCAUAGAAUUGCCGUUGAAACUG